GACGAACGCUGGCGGCGUGCUUAACACAUGCAAGUCGAACGGAAAGGCCCUGCUUUUGUGGGGUGCUCGAGUGGCGAACGGGUGAGUAACACGUGAGUAACCUGCCCUUGACUUUGGGAUAACUUCAGGAAACUGGGGCUAAUACCGGAUAGGAGCUCCUGCUGCAUGGUGGAGGUUGGAAAGUUUCGGCGGUUGGGGAUGGACUCGCGGCUUAUCAGCUUGUUGGUGGGGUAGUGGCUUACCAAGGCUUUGACGGGUAGCCGGCCUGAGAGGGUGACCGGCCACAUUGGGACUGAGAUACGGCCCAGACUCCUACGGGAGGCAGCAGUGGGGAAUAUUGCACAAUGGGCGGAAGCCUGAUGCAGCAACGCCGCGUGCGGGAUGACGGCCUUCGGGUUGUAAACCGCUUUCGCCUGUGACGAAGCGUGAGUGACGGUAAUGGGUAAAGAAGCACCGGCCAACUACGUG
Molecule: ribosomal RNA, 468 nt
Filed under: uncultured bacterium
Lineage: Bacteria
Description: partial 16S ribosomal RNA
Rfam family: Bacterial small subunit ribosomal RNA
Source: RNAcentral